AUACAUGCAAGUCGAGCGGACAGAAGGGAGCUUGCUCCCGGAUGUUAGCGGCGGACGGGUGAGUAACACGUGGGUAACCUGCCUGUAAGACUGGGAUAACUCCGGGAAACCGGAGCUAAUACCGGAUAGUUCCUUGAACCGCAUGGUUCAAGGAUGAAAGACGGUUUCGGCUGUCACUUACAGAUGGACCCGCGGCGCAUUAGCUAGUUGGUGAGGUAACGGCUCACCAAGGCGACGAUGCGUAGCCGACCUGAGAGGGUGAUCGGCCACACUGGGACUGAGACACGGCCCAGACUCCUACGGGAGGCAGCAGUAGGGAAUCUUCCGCAAUGGACGAAAGUCUGACGGAGCAACGCCGCGUGAGUGAUGAAGGUUUUCGGAUCGUAAAGCUCUGUUGUUAGGGAAGAACAAGUGCAAGAGUAACUGCUUGCACCUUGACGGUACCUAACCAGAAAGCCACGGCUAACUACGUGCCAGCAGCCGCGGUAAUACGUAGGUGGCAAGCGUUGUCCGGAAUUAUUGGGCGUAAAGGGCUCGCAGGCGGUUUCUUAAGUCUGAUGUGAAAGCCCCCGGCUCAACCGGGGAGGGUCAUUGGAAACUGGGAAACUUGAGUGCAGAAGAGGAGAGUGGAAUUCCACGUGUAGCGGUGAAAUGCGUAGAGAUGUGGAGGAACACCAGUGGCGAAGGCGACUCUCUGGUCUGUAACUGACGCUGAGGAGCGAAAGCGUGGGGAGCGAACAGGAUUAGAUACCCUGGUAGUCCACGCCGUAAACGAUGAGUGCUAAGUGUUAGGGGGUUUCCGCCCCUUAGUGCUGCAGCUAACGCAUUAAGCACUCCGCCUGGGGAGUACGGUCGCAAGACUGAAACUCAAAGGAAUUGACGGGGGCCCGCACAAGCGGUGGAGCAUGUGGUUUAAUUCGAAGCAACGCGAAGAACCUUACCAGGUCUUGACAUCCUCUGACAACCCUAGAGAUAGGGCUUUCCCUUCGGGGACAGAGUGACAGGUGGUGCAUGGUUGUCGUCAGCUCGUGUCGUGAGAUGUUGGGUUAAGUCCCGCAACGAGCGCAACCCUUGAUCUUAGUUGCCAGCAUUCAGUUGGGCACUCUAAGGUGACUGCCGGUGACAAACCGGAGGAAGGUGGGGAUGACGUCAAAUCAUCAUGCCCCUUAUGACCUGGGCUACACACGUGCUACAAUGGACAGAACAAAGGGCUGCGAGACCGCAAGGUUUAGCCAAUCCCACAAAUCUGUUCUCAGUUCGGAUCGCAGUCUGCAACUCGACUGCGUGAAGCUGGAAUCGCUAGUAAUCGCGGAUCAGCAUGCCG
This 1324-nucleotide ribosomal RNA is filed under the name Bacillus sp. WB21-05. RNAcentral describes it as "bacterial SSU rRNA". It matches the Rfam family "Bacterial small subunit ribosomal RNA", at positions 51 to 1359 of the family's 1533-position model. Lineage: Bacteria; Bacillati; Bacillota; Bacilli; Caryophanales; Bacillaceae. The record is from RNAcentral.